This 253-nucleotide ribosomal RNA is filed under the name uncultured bacterium. RNAcentral's name for it is "partial 16S ribosomal RNA". The stretch from base 27 to 253 matches the Rfam family "Bacterial small subunit ribosomal RNA", at positions 550 to 776 of the family's 1533-position model. The record is from RNAcentral.
UACCAGCACCCCGAGUGGUCGGGACGAUUAUUGGGCGUAAAGAGCUCGUAGGCGGUUUGUCGCGUCUGCCGUGAAAGUCCGGGGCUCAACUCCGGAUCUGCGGUGGGUACGGGCAGACUAGAGUGAUGUAGGGGAGACUGGAAUUCCUGGUGUAGCGGUGAAAUGCGCAGAUAUCAGGAGGAACACCGGUGGCGAAGGCGGGUCUCUGGGCCGAUACUGACGCUGAGGAGCGAAAGCGUGGGGAGCGAACAGG